Molecule: ribosomal RNA, 252 nt
Filed under: uncultured bacterium
Lineage: Bacteria
Description: partial 16S ribosomal RNA
Rfam family: Bacterial small subunit ribosomal RNA
Source: RNAcentral
UACGGGGGGGCAAGCGUUGUUCGGAAUUACUGGGCGUAAAGGGCUCGUAGGUGGCCAACUAAGUCAGACGUGAAAUCCCCAGGCUUAACCUGGGAACUGCGUCUGAUACUGGAUGGCUUGAAUUCGGGAGAGGGAUGCAGAAUUCCAGGUGUAGCGGUGAAAUGCGUAGAUAUCUGGAGGAAUACCGGUGGCGAAGGCGGCAUCCUGGACCGAGAUUGACACUGAUGAGCGAAAGCCAGGGGAGCAAACGGG